RNAcentral lists this ribosomal RNA (497 nucleotides) under uncultured bacterium. RNAcentral describes it as "partial 16S ribosomal RNA". It matches the Rfam family "Bacterial small subunit ribosomal RNA", at positions 27 to 507 of the family's 1533-position model. The record is from RNAcentral.
GGGGGGGGGGGGGGGGGGGGGGGGGGGGUGGGGGGCGGGCGGGCGGGCGGGGAGCUUGCUCCUCUGACGUUAGCGGCGGACGGGUGAGUGCCACGUGGAUAACCUCCCUAUAAGACUGGGCUCACUUCGGGAAACCGGCGCUACUACCGGCUAAUAUAUUGAACCGCAUGUUUCCAUAGUGAAAGACGGUUUUGCUGUCACUUCUAGCUGGAUCCGCGCCGCAUUAGCUAGUUGGUAAGGUAACGGCUUACCAAGGCAACGAUGCGUAGCCGACCUGAGAGGGUGAUCGGCCACAAUGGAACUGAGACACGGUCCAGACUCCUACGGGAGGCAGCAGUAGGGAAUCUUCCGCAAUGGGCGAAAGCCUGACGGAGCAACGCCGCGUGAGUGAUGAAGGUCUUCGGAUCGUAAAACUCUGUUAUUAGGGAAGAACAAAUGUGUAAGUAACUAUGCACGUCUUGACGGUACCUAAUCAGAAAGCCACGGCUAACUACGUG